GGGUCUACCCAUUGGUCAGGCUUAAUUGUCUGCACUGGUGAGAUGGAUCUCUACCUUCUGAGGAACUUUCAUGCCAUUUAUUUGGUGUGAUGGGAAAUCAGGACUGUUACUUUGAAAAAAUUAGAGUGUUUAAAGCAGACUAUCGUCUGAAUAUAUUAGCAUGGAAUAAUGAAAUAGGACGGACUGAUUCUAUUUCGUUGGUUUCUAGGAUCACCGUAAU
RNAcentral lists this ribosomal RNA (220 nucleotides) under Diversispora sp. RNAcentral describes it as "partial small subunit ribosomal RNA". The stretch from base 47 to 220 matches the Rfam family "Eukaryotic small subunit ribosomal RNA", at positions 692 to 866 of the family's 1831-position model. Lineage: Eukaryota; Fungi; Glomeromycota; Glomeromycetes; Diversisporales; Diversisporaceae. The record is from RNAcentral.